This 275-nucleotide ribosomal RNA is filed under the name uncultured bacterium. RNAcentral describes it as "partial 16S ribosomal RNA". It matches the Rfam family "Bacterial small subunit ribosomal RNA", at positions 28 to 314 of the family's 1533-position model. The record is from RNAcentral.
GAUAAACGCUGGCGGCGUGCCUAACACAUGCAAGUCGAACGCCCUUUUGCGCAAGUGAGAGGGAGUGGCGGACGGGUGAGUGCCACGUGGGUACCUACCUUGAGGUGAGGAAUACCACCGAGAAAUCGGUGACAAGACCGCAUACGCUCGGGCAACCGAGCAAAGUCAUGCAAAUGACGCCACAAGAUGAGCCUGCGCCUGAUUAGCUGGUUGGUGAGGAACAGCUCACCAAGGCGACGAUCAGUAGCUGGUCUGAGAGGAUGAUCAGCCACACU